Molecule: ribosomal RNA, 253 nt
Filed under: uncultured bacterium
Lineage: Bacteria
Also listed under: 1 other name
Description: partial 16S ribosomal RNA
Rfam family: Bacterial small subunit ribosomal RNA
Source: RNAcentral
CACGUAGGGCGCAAGCGUUGUCCGGAAUUAUUGGGCGUAAAGAGCUCGUAGGUGGUUUGUUACGUCUGCUGUGAAAACCUAGGGCUUAACCCUGGGCUUGCAGUGGAUACGGGCAGACUAGAGGUAGGUAGGGGAGAAUGGAAUUCCUGGUGUAGCGGUGAAAUGCGCAGAUAUCAGGAGGAACACCGGUGGCGAAGGCGGUUCUCUGGGCCUUACCUGACACUGAGGAGCGAAAGCGUGGGGAGCGAACAGG